AUCAUUACAGAGUUCCUGCCCUCACGGGUAGAAACCCCACCCUUGUGUAUAUUAUAUUGUUGCUUUAGCAGGUCGCCCUCUGGGCGUCGGCCUCGGCUGACUGUGCCUGCUAGAGGACCCUAAAUUUUGAAAUACAGUGUCGUCUGAGUACUAUUUAAUAGUUAAAACUUUCAACAACGGAUCUCUUGGUUCUGGCAUCGAUGAAGAACGCAGCGAAAUGCGAUAAGUAAUGUGAAUUGCAGAAUUCAGUGAAUCAUCGAAUCUUUGAACGCACAUUGCGCCCCUUGGUAUUCCGGGGGGCAUGCCUGUUCGAGCGUCAUUUAGACCAACUCCCGCUCCGGCGGGGUCUUGGGCUGCGCCUUUGGGCGGGCCUUAAAACCAGUGGCGGUGCCCUAAGGCUCUACGCGUAGUAAUUCUUCUCGCGAUAGGGUCCUUGCGGUGUCUUGCCAGCAACCCCCAACUCUCUAGGGUUGACCUCGGAUCAGGUAGGGAUACCCGCUGAACUUAAGCAUAUCAA
RNAcentral lists this ribosomal RNA (517 nucleotides) under Hymenoscyphus fraxineus. Its description in RNAcentral is "eukaryotic LSU rRNA". The stretch from base 166 to 319 matches the Rfam family "5.8S ribosomal RNA". Lineage: Eukaryota; Fungi; Ascomycota; Leotiomycetes; Helotiales; Helotiaceae. The record is from RNAcentral.